CCUACGGGAGGCAGCAGUGGGGGAUUUUGCACAAUGGGGGAAACCCUGAUCCAGCAACGCCGCGUGUGGGAAGAAGGUUUUCGGAUUGUAAACCUCUGUUCUUGGUGAAGAUAAUGACGGUAACCAAGGAGAAAGCUCGUGCUAAAUACGUGCCAGCAGCCGCGGUAAUACGUAGUGAGCAAGCGUUGUCCGGAUUUACUGGGUGUAAAGGGUGCGUAGGCGGUCUUGCAAGUCAGACGUGAAAACCACAGGCUCAACCUGGGGACGGCGUUGGAAACUGUGGGGCUUGAGUGCAGUAGAGGUAGGCGGAAUUCCCGGUGUAGCGGUGAAAUGCGUAGAGAUCGGGAGGAACACCAGUGGCGAAGGCGGCCGACUGGGCUUUAACUGACGCUGAGGCACGAAAGCAUGGGUAGCAAACAGGAUUAGAUACCCGAGUAGUC
This 440-nucleotide ribosomal RNA is filed under the name uncultured bacterium. Its description in RNAcentral is "partial 16S ribosomal RNA". It matches the Rfam family "Bacterial small subunit ribosomal RNA", at positions 338 to 795 of the family's 1533-position model. The record is from RNAcentral.